Molecule: transfer RNA, 61 nt
Organism: Camelus ferus (Wild Bactrian camel)
Lineage: Eukaryota; Metazoa; Chordata; Mammalia; Artiodactyla; Camelidae
Rfam family: tRNA
About the family: Transfer RNA (tRNA) molecules are approximately 80 nucleotides in length. Their secondary structure includes four short double-helical elements and three loops (D, anti-codon, and T loops).
Source: Rfam
CAUAGCUCAGUGGUAGAGCACGUGCUUAGCAUGCACGAGGUCCUGGGUUCAAUCCCUAGUG